GAAGAGCCUGACGUGGGGCUCGAUCCCACAACGCCGGGAUCACACCCUGAGCCGAAGGCAGACACUUAACUGCUGUGCCACCCAGGCGCCCCCACACUGGGGUUCAUAAAAAUCUCAUUUACUCCCAUGGGAUCAAGUAUAGUACUCGGGAUGCCCGUAAACAAACGCUCCUUCCACUCUUUGUAUUUCUUCAACACAGCAGCACUCCCCAGGGACCCUGUUCACAGCAUGUGUCAUGGAAAGAAUAAGGACCACUGCCACUUGAGGUGUCUGGCCGGAAGACAAGGAGUCAUCCAGUGGGGACAGAGUGAAGCCACAGGGCUGUGAUUUCUCCUGGAAUCCUUCUGAGCAAGAAGUCCAGAGGAAGAGGUGAAGAAGAAAUGGCCAGUUCUCAGGGAGUGCUGACAUUCGGGGCCGUGGCCAUAGAAUUCUCCCAGGAGGAGUGGCGAUGCCUGAGCCACACGCAGCGGGAACUGUACAGGGA
Long non-coding RNA from Ailuropoda melanoleuca (giant panda), 484 nucleotides. RefSeq lists it as uncharacterized. The record is from RefSeq and is a predicted model, not a curated record. The transcript is spliced from 3 exons. NCBI's taxonomy places the organism in Eukaryota, Metazoa, Chordata, Mammalia, Carnivora, Ursidae.